RNAcentral lists this small RNA (83 nucleotides) under Choloepus hoffmanni (Hoffmann's two-fingered sloth). Its description in RNAcentral is "7SK RNA (ENSCHOG00000016164.1)". The record is from RNAcentral. Lineage: Eukaryota; Metazoa; Chordata; Mammalia; Pilosa; Megalonychidae.
GAUAUAGAUGCAAUCUCUGUUAACCUGUUAAUUAUCAGGGUUGAUUCAGCUGGUCCAGCUGGUUGAAUAGAUAUCCCCUUCUU